CCUACGGGGGGCUGCAGUGAGGAAUAUUGGUCAAUGGGCGAGAGCCUGAACCAGCCAAGUCGCGUGAGGGAGUACUGCCCUAUGGGUUGUAAACCUCUUUUGUCGGGGAGCAAAAGCCGGACGUGUCCGGCUGUGAGAGUACCCGACGAAAAAGCAUCGGCUAACUCCGUGCCAGCGGCCGCGGUAAUACGGAGGAUGCGAGCGUUAUCCGGAUUUAUUGGGUUUAAAGGGUGCGCAGGCGGAUUUUUAGGUCAUCGGUCAAAACGUGGGGCUCAACCCCAUCCAGCCGUUGAAACUGGGGAUCUAGAGUGUGCGAGAGGUAUGCGGAAUGCGUGGUGUAGCGGUGAAAUGCAUAGAUAUCGCGCAGAACCCCGAUUGCGAAGGCAGCAUACUGGUGCACAACUGACGCUCAGGCACGAAAGCGUGGGUAUCGAACAGGAUUAGAUACCCUUGUAGUC
Molecule: ribosomal RNA, 458 nt
Filed under: uncultured bacterium
Lineage: Bacteria
Description: partial 16S ribosomal RNA
Rfam family: Bacterial small subunit ribosomal RNA
Source: RNAcentral